GGGUCAGUAGGUUGGUCGUGCCACCGGUACGUACUGGUCUCACUGAUUCCUCCUUCCUGAAGAACCGUAAUGCCAUUAAUUUGGUGUUGCGGGGAGACAGGACUGUUACUUUGAAAAAAUUAGAGUGUUUAAAGCAAGCUAACGCUUGAAUACAUUAGCAUGGAAUAAUGAAAUAGGACGAUCGAUCCUAUUUUGUUGGUUUCUAGGAUUGACGUA
Molecule: ribosomal RNA, 216 nt
Filed under: Glomeromycotina sp.
Lineage: Eukaryota; Fungi; Glomeromycota
Description: partial small subunit ribosomal RNA
Rfam family: Eukaryotic small subunit ribosomal RNA (bases 40-216)
Source: RNAcentral